Molecule: ribosomal RNA, 166 nt
Filed under: Odontites linkii
Lineage: Eukaryota; Viridiplantae; Streptophyta; Magnoliopsida; Lamiales; Orobanchaceae
Description: 5.8S ribosomal RNA
Rfam family: 5.8S ribosomal RNA
About the family: 5.8S ribosomal RNA (5.8S rRNA) is a component of the large subunit of the eukaryotic ribosome. It is transcribed by RNA polymerase I as part of the 45S precursor that also contains 18S and 28S rRNA.
Source: RNAcentral
UAAGUCUAAACGACUCUCGGCAACGGAUAUCUCGGCUCUCGCAUCGAUGAAGAACGUAGCGAAAUGCGAUACUUGGUGUGAAUUGCAGAAUCCCGUGAACCAUCGAGUCUUUGAACGCAAGUUGCGCCCGAAACCAUUCGGUUGAGGGCACGUYUGCUUGGGCGUC